Molecule: ribosomal RNA, 460 nt
Filed under: uncultured bacterium
Lineage: Bacteria
Description: partial 16S ribosomal RNA
Rfam family: Bacterial small subunit ribosomal RNA
Source: RNAcentral
CCUACGGGGUGCAGCAGUGAGGAAUAUUGGUCAAUGGACGAGAGUCUGAACCAGUCAAGUAGCGUGAAGGAUGACUGCCCUAUGGGUUGUAAACUUCUUUUAUAUGGGAAUAAAAUGUUCCACGUGUGGGAUUUUGUAUGUACCAUAUGAAUAAGGAUCGGCUAACUCCGUGCCAGCAGCCGCGGUAAUACGGAGGAUCCGAGCGUUAUCCGGAUUUAUUGGGUUUAAAGGGAGCGUAGGUGGAUUGUUAAGUCAGUUGUGAAAGUUUGCGGCUCAACCGUAAAAUUGCAGUUGAAACUGGCAGUCUUGAGUACAGUAGAGGUGGGCGGAAUUCGUGGUGUAGCGGUGAAAUGCUUAGAUAUCACGAAGAACUCCGAUUGCGAAGGCAGUUCACUGGACUGCAACUGACACUGAGGCUCGAAAGUGUGGGUAUCAAACAGGAUUAGAUACCCGUGUAGUC